AUCAAGCGCGAGAAGGGCGUUUGGUGGAUGCCUUGGCAGUAAGAGGCGAUGAAGGACGUGAUACUCUGCGAUAAGCUUGGGGGAGCCGAGAAUAGGCUUUGAUCCCAGGAUCUCCGAAUGGGGGAACCCACCUGACAGUUUGUUAUUGUUAGCUUCGCUAUCAAUAAUAAGCU
This 173-nucleotide ribosomal RNA is filed under the name Phaeobacter italicus. Its description in RNAcentral is "23S rRNA. Bacterial LSU". It matches the Rfam family "Bacterial large subunit ribosomal RNA", at positions 1 to 181 of the family's 2925-position model. Lineage: Bacteria; Pseudomonadati; Pseudomonadota; Alphaproteobacteria; Rhodobacterales; Roseobacteraceae. The record is from RNAcentral.